CGACGGAUAUCUCGCGGGAUUUGCACGCGUGUCCGGCAACAGUGCCAAGCGGCCGGCUGUGAAAUCAAACCGGCUCAAUGCGGCCGCUGGCAACUGAUCGCUGAAUGGCUUCGAACGUGCGAACGUUCAUCAGCAUUUCCUCAUGCGUGACGGGAUAUGGGCGUUCGCCCAGCGCGGCCCGUCCAAAAGCUUCCAGAUUGUCGCGUACCGCGGGAUGAGGCUGAUAAUAAGCGGUUU
Molecule: unclassified non-coding RNA, 237 nt
Filed under: Hevea brasiliensis (rubber tree)
Lineage: Eukaryota; Viridiplantae; Streptophyta; Magnoliopsida; Malpighiales; Euphorbiaceae
Source: RNAcentral